UCCCUGAUGGUCCAGUGGCUAAGACUCCACACUCCCAAUGCAGGGGACCUGGGUUCAAUCCCUGGUCAGGGAA
This 73-nucleotide transfer RNA is filed under the name Bos taurus (domestic cattle). It matches the Rfam family "tRNA". Rfam says of the family: Transfer RNA (tRNA) molecules are approximately 80 nucleotides in length. Lineage: Eukaryota; Metazoa; Chordata; Mammalia; Artiodactyla; Bovidae. RNAcentral also lists the same sequence under 2 other names. The record is from Rfam by way of RNAcentral.